ACAAGUAGUCAGAGCCCGUUAAUGGGUGAUGGCGUGCCUUUUGUAGAAUGAACCGGCGAGUUACGAUUUGAUGCAAGGUUAAGCAGUAAAUGUGGAGCCGUAGCGAAAGCGAGUCUGAAUAGGGCGUUUAGUAUUUGGUCGUAGACCCGAAACCAGGUGAUCUACCCUUGGUCAGGUUGAAGUUCAGGUAACACUGAAUGGAGGACCGAACCGACUUACGUUGAAAAGUGAGCGGAUGAACUGAGGGUAGCGGAGAAAUUCCAAUCGAACCUGGAGAUAGCUGGUUCUCUCCGAAAUAGCUUUAGGGCUAGCCUCAAGUGAUGAUUAUUGGAGGUAGAGCACUGUUUGGACGAGGGGCCCCUCUCGGGUUACCGAAUUCAGACAAACUCCGAAUGCCAAUUAAUUUAACUUGGGAGUCAGAACAUGGGUGAUAAGGUCCGUGUUCGAAAGGGAAACAGCCCAGACCACCAGCUAAGGUCCCAAAAUAUAUGUUAAGUGGAAAAGGAUGUGGCGUUGCCCAGACAACUAGGAUGUUGGCUUAGAAGCAGCCAUCAUUUAAAGAGUGCGUAAUAGCUCACUAGUCGAGUGACACUGCGCCGAAAAUGUACCGGGGCUAAACAUAUUACCGAAGCUGUGGAUUGUCCUUUGGACAAUGGUAGGAGAGCGUUCUAAGGGCGUUGAAGCAUGAUCGUAAGGACAUGUGGAGCGCUUAGAAGUGAGAAUGCCGGUGUGAGUAGCGAAAGACGGGUGAGAAUCCCGUCCACCGAUUGACUAAGGUUUCCAGAGGAAGGCUCGUCCGCUCUGGGUUAGUCGGGUCCUAAGCUGAGGCCGACAGGCGUAGGCGAUGGAUAACAGGUUGAUAUUCCUGUACCACCUAUAAUCGUUUUAAUCGAUGGGGGGGACGCAGUAGGAUAGGCGAAGCGUGCGAUUGGAUUGCACGUCUAAGCAGUAAGGCUGAGUAUUAGGCAAAUCCGGUACUCAUUAAGGCUGAGCUGUGAUGGGGAGAAGACAUUGUGUCUUCGAGUCGUUGAUUUCACACUGCCGAGAAAAGCCUCUAGAUAGAAAAUAGGUGCCCGUACCGCAAACCGACACAGGUAGUCAAGAUGAGAAUUCUAAGGUGAGCGAGCGAACUCUCGUUAAGGAACUCGGCAAAAUGACCCCGUAACUUCGGGAGAAGGGGUGCUCUUUAGGGUUAACGCCCAGAAGAGCCGCAGUGAAUAGGCCCAAGCGACUGUUUAUCAAAAACACAGGUCUCUGCUAAACCGUAAGGUGAUGUAUAGGGGCUGACGCCUGCCCGGUGCUGGAAGGUUAAGAGGAGUGGUUAGCUUCUGCGAAGCUACGAAUCGAAGCCCCAGUAAACGGCGGCCGUAACUAUAACGGUCCUAAGGUAGCGAAAUUCCUUGUCGGGUAAGUUCCGACCCGCACGAAAGGCGUAACGAUUUGGGCACUGUCUCAACGAGAGACUCGGUGAAAUCAUAGUACCUGUGAAGAUGCAGGUUACCCGCGACAGGACGGAAAGACCCCGUGGAGCUUUACUGUAGCCUGAUAUUGAAAUUCGGCACAGCUUGUACAGGAUAGGUAGGAGCCUUUGAAACGUGAGCGCUAGCUUACGUGGAGGCGCUGGUGGGAUACUACCCUAGCUGUGUUGGCUUUCUAACCCGCACCACUUAUCGUGGUGGGAGACAGUGUCAGGCGGGCAGUUUGACUGGGGCGGUCGCCUCCUAAAAGGUAACGGAGGCGCUCAAAGGUUCCCUCAGAAUGGUUGGAAAUCAUUCAUAGAGUGUAAAGGCAUAAGGGAGCUUGACUGCGAGACCUACAAGUCGAGCAGGGUCGAAAGACGGACUUAGUGAUCCGGUGGUUCCGCAUGGAAGGGCCAUCGCUCAACGGAUAAAAGCUACCCCGGGGAUAACAGGCUUAUCUCCCCCAAGAGUUCACAUCGACGGGGAGGUUUGGCACCUCGAUGUCGGCUCAUCGCAUCCUGGGGCUGUAGUCGGUCCCAAGGGUUGGGCUGUUCGCCCAUUAAAGCGGUACGCGAGCUGGGUUCAGAACGUCGUGAGACAGUUCGGUCCCUAUCCGUCGUGGGCGUAGGAAAUUUGAGAGGAGCUGUCCUUAGUACGAGAGGACCGGGAUGGACAUACCUCUGGUGUACCAGUUGUCGUGCCAACGGCAUAGCUGGGUAGCUAUGUGUGGACGGGAUAAGUGCUGAAAGCAUCUAAGCAUGAAGCCCCCCUCAAGAUGAGAUUUCCCAACUUCGGUUAUAAGAUCCCUCAAAGAUGAUGAGGUUAAUAGGUUCGAGGUGGAAGCAUGGUGACAUGUGGAGCUGACGAAUACUAAUCGAUCGAAGACUUAAUCAA
This 2354-nucleotide ribosomal RNA is filed under the name Staphylococcus aureus. RNAcentral's name for it is "partial 23S ribosomal RNA". It matches the Rfam family "Bacterial large subunit ribosomal RNA", at positions 566 to 2925 of the family's 2925-position model. The record is from RNAcentral. Lineage: Bacteria; Bacillati; Bacillota; Bacilli; Caryophanales; Staphylococcaceae.